RNAcentral lists this long non-coding RNA (3913 nucleotides) under Fragaria vesca (wild strawberry). Its description in RNAcentral is "long non-coding RNA (FVES_LNC003450)". The record is from RNAcentral. Lineage: Eukaryota; Viridiplantae; Streptophyta; Magnoliopsida; Rosales; Rosaceae.
CUGUCUAUAACCACCUACACACUCGAAAGCAAAGAAACAAACCCUAGCGGCCUUAUCAAUGGUCGACUCCUCAAACAAAACCCGGCGACUUCGCCGGAACUUGAGGAAUAGGCCCAGAGAAGCAAAGAAACAAACCCUAUCAAAGUCAGAAUCCUCAAACAAAACACUGCAAGGUUGCCGGAACUGGAUCGACCUUCCGGACGACGUCACGUCACCGCUUCGAUUCUGUCACGUCUGUCAAUGUUCGAUAUCCUAGAGACAGCUCAGAGGGUGUGCCUGACAUGGCGCCAGAUCUGCAAGGACCCUCUGACGUGGCGUACCAUUUGCAUGGAGUUCGAUAUUCAACUGAUCAGCCAACAAAAGAUCGAUGGAAAUUUCACUUCCGACAAAGAAAAAGAGCAUCUGCGUAAGUUCCAUAACUUGAAUGCACAUAAGAUGUGACACCACGCCAUUCAUCUUGGCUGUGGCAAUCUCGUAGAUAUCAAUAUCAAGAACUGUGGCUCAGAUGAUCUCCUUCAGUAUACGACUGAUAGGUAUUCAAUUUCUUUUUUAGAAUUAUAUAUAAUAUAAUUCUGCAUUUUGGAUUUUUCAUGUUUCUUAUUUAUGGUUGAAGUAGAUUUUGUUCAAGCUAGUGCCAUUUAUUUGUAAUGACUAACAUAUUCAUCUUUUCAAUAGUUCGAGGGGAAUCAGACGUCUAAGUAAUGUGUUUUCAGAUUGGAUAACAACGGAGGGACUGAAUAAAGUGGCUUCGAAGCUUCCACUGUUGGAGGAUCUUGAAAUCUCUUACACUCCACAGAGUAGUCUAUACACCGAAGAGGACGGCUCUAAAUAUCUUAAAAUCUUUGGCCAUUUUUGCCCUUUUUGAAAUCUUUGAAAUUAAACAAGUACCAAGAGAAUUUCUUCACAGGCAAAGACAAUGGUGAUGCAUUUGCCAUAACCGGAACAAUGCAUCGCUUACAAAACCUCCAGCUUUGUGGAAAUUGGUUGACCUAUAAAGGUUUGCAUGCCAUUCUUGAAGGUUGUCCCCCGUCUUGAGUCACUUGAUCGCCGUCAAUGUAUACAUCUUCGGCAUCUGAAUAGUGAGGGAUGGGGAUGGUACGGCGCCAGGCUUGAAGGUUGCUCGGAAGAUUUGAAAAGAAGAUGUUUUGAACAAAUAAAAAAACUGCGGCUUCCUGACGAUUCUACAGAUGACAAUGAGCAUAUUGGCAUUCAUGAAAUUGUUGAAAGACGAUUCAGAGAAUAUAUUAUAAAGAUUAAUGAUGAUUGAAUGAUCUAGGCUAGAUAUAGAUCAGAUAUAUUUUUGAAUCAUUUAAUAGAUAUUGAUGAAAGCAUGCAUGUAUAAUUUUUUUUUUUUUAAAUGGGAUUUUCUGAAUGUCUAGCUCCUUGUAUGCAUGCUUUCCAGGCUGACUUGCAGUAACUUUGGUGCAUGCUAUUUUUAGAAAAACAAACUUCAUCAGCUAAAGUGAGCAUGAAUCACCACAGCAUAUACAAUCCUUAAUUUACAUAAUUUUGUUCCAAAAAAUAAUAAUAAUUUGCAUAAUUUUUUUAUAUUUAAAUGAUCCUGAUAACUAUGAAUGAAUGCUACAGUCAAAGAGAGAACCAUAUCGACUACAAAUAAAACCUCCAACAAGUUUGGGAGGGUGUCCUAAACAAGCAAACCCUACCAAUGGCCGAACCCUCAAACAAAACCGAGCGGCAAGACGGAAAUCAAAACCCCCGGAGCUGGAUCGACCUCCCAGAAGACGUCACCGCUUCGAUACUAUUACGGCUGGGAACGAUCGAGAUCCUGGUGACCGCUCUGAACGUGUGUACGACAUGGCGCAGAAUCUGCAAGGAAUCUAGAAUGUGGCACACCAUCGACAUCUGCGAUGUUUCGGUUUAUGGCAAGUUGCCCUCACGAUACCCCAUGGACAGGAUGUGUAGGAAAGCCAUUGAUCUCACCUGUGGCAACCUCGUCAAUAUCAGUGUGCACAACUUUGGCUCCGAUGAUCUCCUCAAGUAUAUCACUGAUAGGUACUGUAAUUUUCUACAAGUUAUAUGCAUGUUGAAGUUUUUUUAUUAUCUAAUAUCGUCAUCAGUAAGUGUUUAUGUUGAUUUGGAUUUUGGAUUUUGGAUCUUGUUCGAGUUGUACCCAUGUUCAUUCAUAUAUAAACCUUUUCCUGUGUUUUUUUUUUUGGAUAAAUUAACCCUUUUCCAAUAGUUGUAGGGAAUCAAGCGGCUCUGUUUUGAGUUUUCUGACAUAACAAAUUAUGGACUGAUUGAAGCGGCUCCGAAGCUCCCGCAGUUGGAGUACCUUGAACUAUCACAAGGCAACUACAUAUUCGAUAAUCCUCCCUUCAAUCACAUACGACAUGCCUAUCUUGAAGUGAUUGGCCGUUGUUGCCCUCGUUUGAAAUCACUGAAAUUGAAGGAGUACAACACUGACUGGUUUUUUGAUGGAUGGGAUGGCGAUGCACUUGCUAUUGCAGAAACAAUGCAUGGUCUACACCACCUCCAUCUUUUGGGAGAUAAGAUCACUAGCAAAGGCUUGCGCGCCAUUCUUGAUGGCUGUCCGCUGCUUGUGUCACUUGAUCUGCGUCAUUGUUGGCAUAUUGAUCUGGAUCCGGAGCGCGAAGAAUUGCAAAGAUGCAUUGACCAAAUUGAAAACUUGCGGCUUCCUCAUGAUUCUACACAUGACUAUGAACGUCUUGCCGCGCAAAAAAGAAACUAAGAACUGGGAAGGAUAAUUACAUAGCCGGAAACAGUCUCCAAAUCUCCAAGCACUUCAGUUAAUUUGUACUGCUUAAGUAUUGAGAACAUAUUAUAAAUUUGGGUUAUUUAGUCAAUAGUUGCUGCUAUAUCAGCUUCUGCUUGAACUGAAUCUAAUUGUGGGAAAGCAGGUUGUCGUUAUAUAUGAUGGUCGAUCACCAAUUCAUGUUACAAAAUGUCAAAAUGUCAUUGCAACCUAUUCAAUCAAACCACUCUGAGAAGAAAAUUUAAAACUAGUAGCCGGGAAGAAGCGAUACCCCAGCUUGCUUCAAAAGUGGUUAAUUUAAGGGGAACUAGAUAGCACUUUCAAGGAAGUAGACUCUAGUUGAAGCAUACAUAGAAAAACUACUUGUCCUUAGAUUGUAAAGGUUUUUUGUUUUUGCGCAACUGAUCAAGUUUUACAAUAAAAGACAAUGUUACUACAUAUUAGAGGUGACAAAGCCUAUUCAUGCUACUUUGCAGAUUAAGCAAAGGUGCUGGUAAAUGAUGAAGAAUUUGUCUUCCGUCAAGGAGAAAUUACUCCAUUGUCGCAGAUCUUGUUCUAAGAUGGCCCGCUGCGCCAGACCCUUUCUUCUUCAGUUGAUCAUGGUGGAUCAUAGAACUAUGGAAAUAAAUAGUCAAACGGUUCCAAGAGAAUAUGAAUUUUGUGAUAUAUUGAACAUCCUCCAAGAAUGGAGCAUAUAUACAAGAUUACAUAAAACCUUAAUAGGAAACUAAUUACACAAGGCUAUUACCAAAUUUUAUCAAAAAAAAAAAAAGAAAAAAAAAAGAAUAUUACCAAAUAUUCCUACCAAUACAGAAAAUACACAAUCCUAAUACUGCAUAGACUGACUCACGUUAACAGGCCCAAUAAAGGUUCAGAAGAAACCCUAGCGGCCUUAUCAAUGGCCGGGUCCUCCACCAAAACCCGGCGACGUCGCCGGAACUUGAGGAAUAGGCCCAGAGAAGCAAAGAAGCAAACCCUAACAGAGUCAGAAUCCUCAAACAAAACACUGCAAGGUUGCCGGAACUGGAUCGACCUUCCGGACGACGUCACGUCACCGCUUCGAUUCUGUCACAUCUGUCAAUGUUCGAUAUCCUAGAGACAGCUCAGAGGGUGUGCCUGACAUGGCGCCGGAUCUGCAAGGACCCUAUGACUUGGCGCACCAUCCGCAUGGAGUUCGAU